AGAUGAAAAGUAACAAAACUGUAAUCAAAGAAAACUUCUUCUGAAUUCUUUUUUUAAUUACGAACCUGGUUUUUCCCAUUUCUCUUAAAAGAUUGCUAAGGACAGGCGAAGCGAAAUGAACAUACAUGUGACAAUGCAUAUGACAAUCAUUGUGAUAAUUGUAAAAAAUAGUUACUUUAAAUGCUGAUGGAAACCAACACUUUUUAUGAUGCAAUGUAACGGCAAUUAUCUUGAGUAAACUAAAACAAAAAAAACUUUUAUGAUUCUAUUCGAAAACUCAAUACGCCUCAUUGGAAAAAAAACUUGUUAUUUAUUAUGACCAAGAUGCCGCGCGGGAACGAGAAAAAAUACCUUCAAUUCCUUGAGUUAUAUAAAAAAGCAUAUUCAACACUUGAAAAACAAAAGCAGUAUCAGCAAGCACAAGAGUUGUGGAAAAUAGUAAAAAACAAUGAAUCCUUGUAUGAAAAAAAAAUAAAUGAGUUAAAAGAGAAAGUAACAAAGUCGAAAGUAUCACUUAUGUCAUUCUGGGGAAAUACCAUUUCACCACCUAGCAAAAAGAAAAAAGAUAUCCAUCCAGCGCCGUCUUCGUCAAAUGAAACACGAAGUUUCCUAAAUGCAACUACGACAGAGCCUGCAAGGAUUGAAAUUA
Hydra vulgaris (swiftwater hydra) is the source of this 649-nucleotide non-coding RNA. The record is from RefSeq and is a predicted model, not a curated record. Lineage: Eukaryota; Metazoa; Cnidaria; Hydrozoa; Anthoathecata; Hydridae.